RNAcentral lists this ribosomal RNA (663 nucleotides) under uncultured bacterium. RNAcentral's name for it is "bacterial SSU rRNA". It matches the Rfam family "Bacterial small subunit ribosomal RNA", at positions 159 to 809 of the family's 1533-position model. The record is from RNAcentral.
GGUGCUAAUACCGCAUAACCAUAGUUACCGCAUGGUAACUAUGUAAAAGGUGGCUAUGCUACCGCUUUUGGAUGGGCCCGCGGCGCAUUAGCUAGUUGGUGGGGUAAAGGCUUACCAAGGCAAUGAUGCGUAGCCGAACUGAGAGGUUGAUCGGCCACAUUGGGACUGAGACACGGCCCAAACUCCUACGGGAGGCAGCAGUAGGGAAUCUUCCACAAUGGGCGAAAGCCUGAUGGAGCAACGCCGCGUGGGUGAAGAAGGUCUUCGGAUCGUAAAACCCUGUUGUUAGAGAAGAAAGUGCGUGAGAGUAACUGUUCACGUUUCGACGGUAUCUAACCAGAAAGCCACGGCUAACUACGUGCCAGCAGCCGCGGUAAUACGUAGGUGGCAAGCGUUAUCCGGAUUUAUUGGGCGUAAAGGGAACGCAGGCGGUCUUUUAAGUCUGAUGUGAAAGCCUUCGGCUUAACCGGAGUAGUGCAUUGGAAACUGGGAGACUUGAGUGCAGAAGAGGAGAGUGGAACUCCAUGUGUAGCGGUGAAAUGCGUAGAUAUAUGGAAGAACACCAGUGGCGAAAGCGGCUCUCUGGUCUGUAACUGACGCUGAGGUUCGAAAGCGUGGGUAGCAAACAGGAUUAGACACCCUGGUAGUCCACGCCGUAAACGA